AGAGUUUGAUCCUGGCUCAGAUUGAACGCUGGCGGCGUGCCUAACCCCAUGCAAGUCGAGCGGUAACAGGUGUAGCAAUACAUGCUGACGAGCGGCGAACGGGUGAGUAAUGCUUUGGAAUCUUCCCAGUAGUGGGGAAUAACCAGUCGAAAGAUUGGCUAAUACCGCAUACGUCUGUAAAGGGAAAGCGGGGGCUCGUAAGACCUCGCGCUAUUGGAUGAGCCAAAGUCGGAUUAGCUAGUUGGUGGGGUAAUGGCCUACCAAGGCGACAAUCCGUAGCUGGUCUGAGAGGACGACCAGCCCCACCGGAACUGAGACACGGUCCGGACUCCUACGGGAGGCAGCAGUGGGGAAUAUUGGACAAUGGGGGAAACCCUGAUCCAGCGACGCCGCGUGUGUGAAGAAGGCCUGCGGGUUGUAAAGCACUUUUAGUGGGGACAA
Molecule: ribosomal RNA, 441 nt
Filed under: uncultured bacterium
Lineage: Bacteria
Description: bacterial SSU rRNA
Rfam family: Bacterial small subunit ribosomal RNA
Source: RNAcentral